Molecule: long non-coding RNA, 382 nt
Filed under: Numida meleagris (helmeted guineafowl)
Lineage: Eukaryota; Metazoa; Chordata; Aves; Galliformes; Numididae
Description: lncRNA (ENSNMEG00000010092.1)
Source: RNAcentral
CAAGAGGCUAGAAGAUAAAAGCAGUUUCUAGCAGUGUCUUCUCCUUCCAGAUUUUUCAACUAGGACUUUUCAGCCUAGAGAUGCAGAGACCGCAGACCAGGCCAGUGCUUCGUUUGUCCAACCUGAACACUGUGUACAUAGUGCUUCUCCAUCAAAGAUAGCUGUUGUCCCCAUGCAACCAAUAUUGGGGAAGAGGAGGGGAGUGAGAGUGAGAGAUGCAACCCCCAAGUGUUUCCAUGGAGGUGACUGUUUGCCGAAGGCCUUGAUGAUAGAAAGAAAUCUAAAGUGUGACUGAUGCAAGAGGUCAUUGAAAGGGUUUUCAUAUGUUGUUCUGGCACAUGGAAAAACUAGGACGGUUUCAAUAAAGAAAAAUAUAUAAUGG